Molecule: ribosomal RNA, 497 nt
Filed under: uncultured bacterium
Lineage: Bacteria
Description: partial 16S ribosomal RNA
Rfam family: Bacterial small subunit ribosomal RNA
Source: RNAcentral
GAUGAACGCUGGCGGCGUGCCUAAUACAUGCAAGUCGAGCGAACAGACGAGGCGCUUGCUCCUCUGACGUUAGCGGCGCGCGUGUGAGUCACACGUGUAUAACCUACCUAUAAUACUGGGAUAACUUCGGGAAACCGGAGCUAAUCCCGGAUAAUAUAUUGAUCCGCAUGGGUCGAUAGUGAAAGACGGUUUUGCUGUCACUUAUAGAUGGAUCCGCGCCGCAUUAGCUAGUUGGUAAGUUAACGGCUUACCAAGGCUACGAUGCGUAGACGACCGGCGAGGGUGGUAGCCCACCUGAGAGCGUGAACGCGGACAAGACUCCUACGAGAGGGAGCAGUAGGGAACCUGCCGCAGUGGGCGGAAAUUUUGCGGAGCAACGGCACGCGAGUGAUGAAAGUCCUCCGAGCGUGAAACUGGGUUACGAGGGAAGAACAAAUGUGUAAGUAACUAUGCACGUCUUGACGGUACCUAAUAAGAAAGCCACGGCUAACUACGUG